This 73-nucleotide transfer RNA is filed under the name Camelus bactrianus (Bactrian camel). It matches the Rfam family "tRNA". From Rfam's summary of the family: Transfer RNA (tRNA) molecules are approximately 80 nucleotides in length. RNAcentral also lists the same sequence under 2 other names. Lineage: Eukaryota; Metazoa; Chordata; Mammalia; Artiodactyla; Camelidae. The record is from Rfam by way of RNAcentral.
GAGGGUAUAGCUCAGUGGUAGAGUACAUGAUUAGUGUGCCACGAGGUCCUAGGUUCAAUCCCCAGUACCUCCA